GACGAACGCUGGCGGCGUGCUUAACACAUGCAAGUCGAACGGAAAGGCCCUUUCGGGGGUGCUCGAGUGGCGAACGGGUGAGUAACACGUGGGUGAUCUGCCCUGCACUUUGGGAUAAGCCUGGGAAACUGGGUCUAAUACCGAAUAUGAUCAUGCGCCUCAUGGUGUGUGGUGGAAAGCUUUUGCGGUGUGGGAUGGGCCCGCGGCCUAUCAGCUUGUUGGUGGGGUAAUGGCCUACCAAGGCGACGACGGGUAGCCGGCCUGAGAGGGUGUCCGGCAACACUGGGACUGGGAUACGGCCCAGACUCCUACGGGAGGCAGCAGUGGGGAAUAUUGCACAAUGGGCGCAAGCCUGAUGCAGCGACGCCGCGUGAGGGAUGACGGCCUUCGGGUUGUAAACCUCUUUCAGCACAGACGAAGCGCAAGUGACGGUAUGUGCAGAAGAAGCACCGGCCAACUACGUGCCAGCAGCCGCAGUAA
This 480-nucleotide ribosomal RNA is filed under the name uncultured bacterium. RNAcentral describes it as "partial 16S ribosomal RNA". It matches the Rfam family "Bacterial small subunit ribosomal RNA", at positions 28 to 523 of the family's 1533-position model. The record is from RNAcentral.